AGCGGCUUCUACUCAGUGGCGGGGUGAUGUACAAUUCCCCCAACACAGCGUUUCUAUGUCGCUUUGGCAAUAUGGCUCACUAAGCAAAUGUCAAGCAGGUGUUUCCAGAGUGCCAUGAUUGCAUGCGUACCGCCUUUGACGAAAACAACAUUCAUACCGUCAUAUUGUUAUCAAGUGCUAUCGCUUACAACAAUAUGAUUGAAUGAAUGUCGUUAUAACGUGCCACCUGUGAACAAAACCACAAUGAUAAUUUUAUUUUUUUACAAUAUCACUUUAUAGCCCUUGUUAUUAAAGUAGCACUUAGUUACGCAUAUUCGCACAGAGACAACUGACCAUCGAAGGUUCGCGUAUUAUUCACUGGCCCCGUACUAGUUCAUUGAUACUCGCAAUGGCACCCAUAUUACUCUAAUAGUAGUAAAGAUCUAUCAGGAGGGCUGAAAACUGGGAGCCUUGGCGAUACGUUAUGAUUAAGCUGCAGCGCUUACGGGGAUGAGCAGACUUACUGCCCGUUUUCUUCCUAUUCGCCUGUGUUUGUCGGUGUGGGCGAUGCUGGUUGUGAAGUAGUACAAGUUGUUGUUCAAUUAUUUAUAGUGUCAGCUCAUUUCAGCUGCAUUGUUUUGUAAUAUAGAAAAGGUCUUGCAAUCAAUCGUCAAAUAUCUGUCUACCGAGGACCUGCUGGUUUGCCGUCGAGUGUGCCGGGUUUGGAAACGCAUCAUUGAGAGACCCCAGCACUGGCUCCACAUAAAACUCAAGCAUGCGAUCGUCUCCGCCCAGAUUUUCCGCGAAAUGGCAAGAUGGUGCUCAGCCGUCCAGAGCAUAUCGCUUGAAGCUCUUGAAGCGGCUUCUGGGGAUCUCAAGCAAGCGCCAGCCAACGCUAGGGCUCACCUUGAGCACGGUUUCGACGAGCUCCUGAAGGCUUGUUCCAAUACGCUGAAGGUGCUUACAAUCAUCGGCUGCGACAAUGUGCUUAC
Molecule: long non-coding RNA, 971 nt
Organism: Dermacentor andersoni
Lineage: Eukaryota; Metazoa; Arthropoda; Arachnida; Ixodida; Ixodidae
Source: RefSeq, a predicted model, not a curated record